UACCUAGGGAUUUACCCACAGAUGAGGGUCCUUCAACCUCAGCACACAAUCUAAGCAGGUUGCCAGCAAAGGAGCUGUAUAAGGUCCAUCUUCAAAAACAAAUAAGAAAAAGUGACAUGGAGAUGGACCUUAUACAGCUUCAAAUGGAAGAGAAAAGGCUCCUCAUUAAAAAAGCAGCACUUGAAAUUGAAUUACUGGAGCAUCGCCUUAAGGUGUUCCUCUGGGCCAUCUUCCUCAAUACAAGGAGGGUGGCUCUCUCCUCUUAUAGUGGCAAUAUUGUGAAGCACAACACAAGCCACUAUAAUGUCGCAUGCCAUCUCUGGACUAACCCGGAGCCCACGCAGACACUGAAAC
Long non-coding RNA from Tachysurus vachellii, 354 nucleotides. RefSeq lists it as uncharacterized. NCBI's taxonomy places the organism in Eukaryota, Metazoa, Chordata, Actinopteri, Siluriformes, Bagridae. The transcript has 3 exons. The record is from RefSeq and is a predicted model, not a curated record.